CCUCCAGAGGAAGAACGGGAGGUGGCGGCGCCUCCGUAUCGUAAAACGCGAUGAACUCUUCUCCUUGAUUUUUCCGGACGAAAGGGACUAAAUAGAGCUUAGAUUGGAGGCGGUGGAGCUUCCUGGGGCCCACAAGACUGCCAGGCGCGGCCGGGGGGGCCGCGCCUGGUGGGCUUGUGGGCUCUCAGCUCCACCCCUCCGGUUGAUUCUUGCGCCAUUAUUUUUGAUAUAUUCCACAAAAAAUCCCCAUAAAUUUCCAGGUCAUUCCGAGAACUUUUAUUUGUGCGCAAAAAUAACACCAUGGCAAUUCUGCUGAAAACAGCGUUAGUCCGGGUUAGUUCCAUUCAAAUCAUGCAAAUUAGAGUCCAAAACAAGGGCAAAAGAGUUUGGAAAAGUAGAUACGACGGAGACGUAUCAGGGGGGCGCCUAGCAGGCUUGUGGGCCCCCCGUGGCUCCUUUGCCCUACUUCUUCCGCCUAUAAAUUCUCCAAAAAUAUGAAACUGCCAGGGAGAGCCACGGAAAUACUUUUCCGCCGCCGCUAGCUUCUUUCUCUGCAAGAUCCCAUCUGGGGCACGUUCUGGUGCCCUGCCUCUCCGAUGAUGCGUGAGUAGUUCAUCACAGACCUUCGGAUCCAUAGCUAGUAGCUAGAUGGCUUCUUCUCUCUCUUGGAUCUUCAAUACAAAGUUCUCCAUGAUCUUCAUGGAGAUCUAUCCGAUGUAAUCUUCUUUUGCGGUGUGUUUGUCAAGAUCCGAUGAAUUGUGGAUUUAUGAUCAGAUUAUCAUGAAUAUUAUUUGAGUCUCCUUUGAUCUCUUACAUGCAUGAUUUCGUAUCCUUGUAAUUCUCUUCGAGUUGUGGGUUUCGUUUGGCCAACUUGAUCUAUAAUUCUUGCAAUGGGAGAAGUGCUUGGUUUUGAGUUCAUACCGUGCGGUGUCCUCACCAAGUGACAGAACGGGUAGCGAGGCACGCAUCGUAUUGUUGCCAUCAAGGGUAAAAAUAUGGGGUUUAUAUCUAUUGCAUGAAUUUAUCCCUCUACAUCAUGUCAUCUUGCUUAAGGCGUUACUCUGUUUGUCAUGAACUCAAUACACUAGAUGCAUGCUGGAUAGCGGUCGAUGUGUGGAGUAAUAGUAGUAGAUGCAGACAGUAUCGGUCUACUUGUCUCGUACGUGAUGCCCAUAUGUAUGAUCAUUGCAUUAGAUAUCAUCAUGACUUUGCGCGGUUCUAUCAAUUGCUCGACAGUAAUUCGUUCACCCACCGUAAUACUUGCUAUCAUGAGAGAAGCCUCUAGUGAACACUAUGGCCCCCGGGUCUACUUCACAUCAUAUUUUCAGCUCUACACUUUUACUUUGUUGCACUUUCCACCUUCAGGUCUCACCUUGCAAUUAAUCGUGAAGGGAUUGACGACCCCUUUAUAGCGUUGGGUGCAAGUUUGUUUGUUUUUGCGCAGGUACAUUGGUGACUUCUCUUGAUACUCCUACUGGAUUGAUACCUUGGUUCUCAAACUGAGGGAAAUACUUACUGCUACUGUGCUGCAUCACCCUUUCCUCUUCAAGGGAAAAACCAACGCAAGCUCAAGUGGUAACAAGAAGGAUUUCUGUCGCCGUUGUCGGGUAGUAUCAAGUCAAGAAUAGUCUCCCUUCAACGUGUCAAUUUCUGGCACCGGGAACUAUUCUAAG
This 1673-nucleotide long non-coding RNA is filed under the name Hordeum vulgare. RNAcentral's name for it is "long non-coding RNA (HVUL_LNC003880)". Lineage: Eukaryota; Viridiplantae; Streptophyta; Magnoliopsida; Poales; Poaceae. The record is from RNAcentral.